GGUGCCGGCGGCCCGGGUUAUGCGUGGGUCAGGAGGCUGGCGCGGCCGUGGGAAGCCCCGCCGGGCGGGCCUGGGCGAGCGCUGCCCCGUGCGCGCCCUAAAGGAAGGUGCCACCCAGCCUUGUUUGCUGUUGUGCAACAGAAAACUUAACAACUCCAUCCUUUCAGUGUGCAGAUAAAAUAGGAUGAAGAAAACAAAAAGACAGACUAUCUUGACACAGAUCUGUGGUACAACCUCAAGCAGACUGCUGUGGUAGAGCCAUCUACAGCCAUCUCAAAGAGACUGGGAACUUCAGAGAAUUCAAAGAAAAGCAACAAGUAGGAUCAAGAGCAUGGCAAUUCAUGAAAGAUUGAAAAGAUUUGGAUUAUUAUCUUCAGAGAAAAACAGUGGAGAGACAAUAAAAGUACAUGAAGUCAUGUCUGGUACAGACUGAUCAGGAGGUUCUCUUUUUCCUGUCUCGUACUGUAGAAUAAAGGGACUUUCUGUGAACUAUCAAACUAAAGGUAGGAUAUUUAAAACUGAAAAAUAAAAACUAAUAAAAAAAAAAAGAAAACCACAA
Neopsephotus bourkii (Bourke's parrot) is the source of this 559-nucleotide long non-coding RNA. RefSeq lists it as uncharacterized. The transcript has 2 exons. Lineage: Eukaryota; Metazoa; Chordata; Aves; Psittaciformes; Psittacidae. The record is from RefSeq and is a predicted model, not a curated record.